Molecule: RNase P RNA, 393 nt
Filed under: Opitutia bacterium
Lineage: Bacteria; Pseudomonadati; Verrucomicrobiota; Opitutia
Description: RNase P RNA component class A
Rfam family: Bacterial RNase P class A
About the family: Ribonuclease P (RNase P) is a ubiquitous endoribonuclease, found in archaea, bacteria and eukarya as well as chloroplasts and mitochondria. Its best characterised activity is the generation of mature 5'-ends of tRNAs by cleaving the 5'-leader elements of precursor-tRNAs.
Source: RNAcentral
UCCGAGAAGCGGUCAUUCGCUUGUUUACCUUUGGGUAUAUGAGAGGAAAGUCCGGACAUCACAGGGCAGGAUUCCCCGUGAAAGCGGGGGGGACUUGUUUCAAGACAAGUUCACGGCUAGUGCCACAGAAAACAAACCGCCUCUUUACGGAGGUAAGGGUGAAAAGGUGGGGUAAGGGCCCACCGCUGGUCGAGCAAUCGAUCAGGCAUGGUAAACCCAAUCCGAUGCAAGACGAAAUAGGAAACCGGGCUGCCCGUCUAUGGUUUCGGGUACGUCGCACCCCGCAGCAGUGGGGAUCUGAGCAUUUGGUCAGAUAGAUAAAUGAAUGGCGACCGUUCUCUGGCUUUUGUUUUUGAAUGGUUACAGAAUCCGGCUUACAGCUUCUCGGAAUCC